Molecule: unclassified non-coding RNA, 240 nt
Filed under: soil metagenome
Description: partial contains 5.8S ribosomal RNA, internal transcribed spacer 2, and large subunit ribosomal RNA
Source: RNAcentral
AAGACUAUAGACCUGCGGAGUACCUGCGGAAGGAUCAUUAACGUAUCUAUGAUGGGGUGCGGAGCGCCCUGCUCCCGUCGAACGGCCGUGCAGCGGGUGCGCCGCCCCCGUCCCACCUCACAAACCCACUGUGAACAUUCACCGGUGGAGGGGGCUCGGUCUGCGCCGUGUCCCCGAUGCCGAAUACCCAAACUCCAGUUGCAAAGAACGUCGUGCGGACUCGGUGCCGCCUAAAACAUG